UUCCCGGAAACGAAAGUCUUUCGGUUCCUGGGGUAGUAUGGUUGCAAAGCUGAAACUUAAAGAAAUUGACGGAAUGGCACCACCAGGAGUGGAGCCUGCGGCUUAAUUUGACUCAACACGGGAAAACUCACCCGGCCCGGACACCGUAAGGAUUGACAGAUUGAAAGCUCUUUCUCGAUUUGGUGGUUGGUGGUGCAUGGCCGUUCUUAGUUGGUGGAGCGAUUUGUCUGGUUUAUUCCGAUAACGAGCGAGACUCUAGCCUGCUAAAUAGUGACUAGAUUCAUAUUUGUCGUCUAGUCUACUUCUUAGAGGGAUAAGCGGUGUUUAGCCGCACGAGAUUGAGCGAUAACAGGUCUGUGAUGCCCUUAGAUGUUCGGGGCUGCACGCGCGCUACAAUGGAAGAAUCAGCUGGCCUAUCCAUUGCCGAAAGGUAUUGGUAAACCGUUGAAACUCUUCCGUGACCGGGAUAGGGAAUUGUAAUUAUUUCCCUUGAACGAGGAAUUCCUAGUAAGUGUGAGUCAUCAGCUCACGCUGAUUACGUCCCUGCCAUUUGUACACACCGCCCGUCGCUGUCCGGGACUGAGCUGUCUCGAGAGGACUGCGGACUACUGUAUUGAGACCUUCGGGUCGUAAUAUGGCGGGAAACAGUUCAAUCGCAAUGGCU
This 664-nucleotide ribosomal RNA is filed under the name Gurltia paralysans. RNAcentral's name for it is "SSU rRNA". It matches the Rfam family "Eukaryotic small subunit ribosomal RNA", at positions 1088 to 1773 of the family's 1831-position model. Lineage: Eukaryota; Metazoa; Nematoda; Chromadorea; Rhabditida; Metastrongylidae. The record is from RNAcentral.